This 253-nucleotide ribosomal RNA is filed under the name uncultured bacterium. RNAcentral describes it as "partial 16S ribosomal RNA". It matches the Rfam family "Bacterial small subunit ribosomal RNA", at positions 524 to 776 of the family's 1533-position model. The record is from RNAcentral.
UACGUAGGGUGCGAGCGUUGUCCGGAAUUACUGGGCGUAAAGAGCUCGUAGGUGGUUUGUCGCGUUGUUCGUGAAAACUCACAGCUUAACUGUGGGCGUGCGGGCGAUACGGGCAGACUGGAGUACUGCAGGGGAGACUGGAAUUCCUGGUGUAGCGGUGAAAUGCGCAGAUAUCAGGAGGAACACCGAUGGCGAAGGCAGGUCUCUGGGCAUUAACUGACGCUGAGGAGCGAAAGCAUGGGGAGCGAACAGG